UGCGCAGGCGGACCUAUCAGUCAGUGGGGAAAUCUCUCGGCUCAACCGGGAAACUGCCAUUGAUACUGUAGGUCUUGAGUUUGGUUGAAGUGGGCGGAAUGUAGCAUGUAGCGGUGAAAUGCAUAGAUAUGCUACAGAACACCGAUCGCGAAGGCAGCUCACUAAACCAAAACUGACGCUCAGGCACGAAAGCGUGGGUAGCGAACAGGAUUAGAUACCCUGGUAGUCC
RNAcentral lists this ribosomal RNA (229 nucleotides) under uncultured bacterium. RNAcentral's name for it is "partial 16S ribosomal RNA". It matches the Rfam family "Bacterial small subunit ribosomal RNA", at positions 568 to 796 of the family's 1533-position model. The record is from RNAcentral.